This 490-nucleotide ribosomal RNA is filed under the name Xanthocaecilius sommermanae. RNAcentral's name for it is "partial 16S ribosomal RNA". The stretch from base 368 to 490 matches the Rfam family "Bacterial large subunit ribosomal RNA", at positions 2473 to 2596 of the family's 2925-position model. Lineage: Eukaryota; Metazoa; Arthropoda; Insecta; Psocodea; Caeciliusidae. The record is from RNAcentral.
GUCUUUAGGAUUUUAUCUUAAGUCUAAUCUGCUCACUGAAAUUUAAAGAGCCGCAGUAUUUUGACUGUGCAAAGGUAGCAUAAUCAAUAGUUUUUUAAUUGAAAACUUGAAUGAAUGAUUGGACGAUAAAUCAACUUUCUUAAUUUUAUAAUUUGAAUUUAAAAUUUAAGUCAAAAUACUUAAAUUUAAUUAAAAGACGAGAAGACCCUUUAGAUUUUUAUUAUUUAAAAAUUAUUAAUUUUAUUAAUUUUAAUAUAAUUUAAUUGGGGUGAUUAUGUAAAAAAAUUAACUUAGUUUUAAAUUUAAACCAUUUAUUAUUGAAUAUUUUGAUCUAAAAAUUUUAAUUACAAGAUUAAAUUACCUAAGGGAUAACAGCGUUAUAUUAUUUAAGAGUUCAUAUCUAUAAUAAUGAUUGCGACCUCGAUGUUGAAUUAAGAGAUAUACUGGGGUAGAAAUUAGUAAAUAUUAGUCUGUUCGACUAUUAAAUUCU